This 79-nucleotide ribozyme is filed under the name Crocodylus porosus (Australian saltwater crocodile). RNAcentral describes it as "Mammalian CPEB3 ribozyme (ENSCPRG00005004385.1)". It matches the Rfam family "Mammalian CPEB3 ribozyme". From Rfam's summary of the family: The mammalian CPEB3 ribozyme is a self cleaving RNA located in the second intron of the CPEB3 gene which belongs to a family of genes regulating messenger RNA polyadenylation. Lineage: Eukaryota; Metazoa; Chordata; Crocodylia; Crocodylidae. The record is from Rfam by way of RNAcentral.
AUAACUGUCGUAGUGGCCAUAAUAGAAGCAUUCAUGUUGCAACUCCUGUCAGAUUCCAACAGAUCUGAUAAAUUCUGCC